ACUCAAAUGAAUUGACGGGGGUCCGCACAAGCGGUGGAACAUGUGGUUUAAUUCGACACUACGCGAGGAACCUUACCUAGGCUUGACAUGUUCUUGACAGGUACAGAAACGUACUCUUCUUGGCUUCGGUCAAGACAAGAUCACAGGUGCUGCAUGGCUGUCGUCAGCUCGUGUCGUGAGAUGUUGGGUUAAGUCCUCUAACGAGCGCAACCCCUGCUGUCAGUUGCCACUACUUUUUAGUAAGCACUCUGAUAGAACUGCCUGGGAAACCAGGAGGAAGGUGGGGAUGACGUCAAGUCAUCAUGGUCCUUAUGCCUAGGGCUACACACGUGUUACAAUGGCUAAUACAAAGGGCUGCAAACUUGCAAAAGUAAGCUAAUCCCAGAAAGUUAGUCUAAGUUCAGAUUGAGGUCUGCAACUCGACCUCAUGAAGUUGAAAUCGCUAGUAAUCGCAUAUCAGCUACGAUGCGGUGAAUACGUUCUCGGACCUUGUACACACCGCCCGU
Molecule: ribosomal RNA, 506 nt
Filed under: uncultured bacterium
Lineage: Bacteria
Description: partial 16S ribosomal RNA
Rfam family: Bacterial small subunit ribosomal RNA
Source: RNAcentral